CCCUUUGGCGAUGAAUCUGAGAUCAUGAACCAUCUUUCCUCUCCGAAAGGAGUGUUCUUCUUGGAUAUUUUGGACUCCCCUUUUGUUACUAUCUCUCCUAGUAUUUAUAUAAAAUACUUUCAUUAUCCAUCGGCCUUUGACCAGUGUACCCCUAUCUUUUAAAUAUCAUGCGGAAUAACCCUCUAAUAUGACUAAGUAUUGAACUAGCCAUACGAGCCUCAUGAGUGCUCGGGCCACAGCCGGAUUGUUUGCCGGUGUGUUACUUCCUAAAACAUGACUUCGGCUUGACCAACCUCAGAGAACUAUAGUGAAAGUACGUGUGAAAUAUCAACAACACUCUCACAGUUUGUAUGUAGGAUUUCAAGGUUAUAACCCAACCACAUCCUUUUGCUGUAACAAUAGAAAUAUUAUACGGCUAACCAAUC
Molecule: long non-coding RNA, 425 nt
Filed under: Nicotiana benthamiana
Lineage: Eukaryota; Viridiplantae; Streptophyta; Magnoliopsida; Solanales; Solanaceae
Description: long non-coding RNA (NBEN_LNC042639)
Source: RNAcentral